RNAcentral lists this ribosomal RNA (502 nucleotides) under uncultured Massilia sp. RNAcentral's name for it is "bacterial SSU rRNA". It matches the Rfam family "Bacterial small subunit ribosomal RNA", at positions 10 to 507 of the family's 1533-position model. The record is from RNAcentral. Lineage: Bacteria; Pseudomonadati; Pseudomonadota; Betaproteobacteria; Burkholderiales; Oxalobacteraceae.
AGUUUGAUCCUGGCUCAGAUUGAACGCUGGCGGCAUGCUUUACACAUGCAAGUCGAACGGUAACAGGGAGCUUGCUCCGCUGACGAGUGGCGAACGGGUGAGUAAUAUAUCGGAACGUACCUAGAAGUGGGGGAUAACGUAGCGAAAGUUACGCUAAUACCGCAUACGAUCCACGGAUGAAAGUAGGGGACCUUCGGGCCUUAUGCUUUUAGAGCGGCCGAUAUCUGAUUAGCUAGUUGGUGAGGUAAAGGCUCACCAAGGCGACGAUCAGUAGCUGGUCUGAGAGGACGACCAGCCACACUGGAACUGAGACACGGUCCAGACUCCUACGGGAGGCAGCAGUGGGGAAUUUUGGACAAUGGGCGCAAGCCUGAUCCAGCAAUGCCGCGUGAGUGAAGAAGGCCUUCGGGUUGUAAAGCUCUUUUGUCAGGGAAGAAACGGUGAGGGCUAAUAUCCUUUGCUAAUGACGGUACCUGAAGAAUAAGCACCGGCUAACUACGUG